This 252-nucleotide ribosomal RNA is filed under the name uncultured bacterium. RNAcentral's name for it is "partial 16S ribosomal RNA". It matches the Rfam family "Bacterial small subunit ribosomal RNA", at positions 524 to 776 of the family's 1533-position model. The record is from RNAcentral.
UACGUAGGGUGCAAGCGUUAAUCGGAAUUACUGGGCGUAAAGCGUGCGCAGGCGGUUUUGUAAGUCUGUCGUGAAAGCCCCGGGCUCAACCUGGGAAUUGCGAUGGAGACUGCAAGGCUUGAAUCUGGCAGAGGGGGGUAGAAUUCACGUGUAGCAGUGAAAUGCGUAGAGAUGUGGAGGAACACCGAUGGCGAAGGCAGCCCCCUGGGUCAAGAUUGACGCUCAUGCACGAAAGCGUGGGGAGCAAACAGG